UUCUGUUGUGUUCGGUGCACUCUGCUCCAGCAGCACAUCCCACUGAGAGGGAAUUAAAGCAAAACGGGGAGAAAGGGGAAGAGCAAAGAACCAGCACGAGGAAUGUCACUCCGCAGAUACGGAAACGUCUCGAACGUGCCCCUGGCGUGUUGCAGCAGACAGCUUAAGCCGAGAGAAAAUUCUUUGGCAGUGACAUCAAUUCGGCGGCCUGACUUCUGCGGGAGUGUUCAAACCCAUCUCAUAAGUGGCUCGCAGCUGCUGAAAGACGGCUCUCGCCUGGUGCUGGGGAUGGCUCCUUCACCUCGAGAGGAGCCUGAGCCUCUCCGAGAUGAGCGUGCUGUUUCCCUGUGGUUUCUCAUGGCUUUGGGUUGUCAUACAGGGCAUGCGGGAAUGGUCUUUGAUGGCCCUUGCAUGAGACCAUGAGUAAUUGAUUCUUCAUGGAGAGAGCUUUGGGCAAGUCAUUCCUACUGCUCACAAGGCUAAGGGCGUCCAGUACGCAUCCCCAGGCACGGCCUGGCCCACAGAUGGGGAUGUUUGAUGGAGUAACGGUGUGAAGUGGGCACUGGUUGUGCUGCAGGAGAGUGUGUGGUGGAACAGCACUGUCCUUGAUCAAGUGGUGGUGAAGAGCUGACCCAGCCCUCGUGCAGAACCCAAAGGAGACAAGAAAAUUCUGUGCCAGCUUCUUUGCAGACAGAAGAUGUGGAACAAAAUCGCGCCGUUCCCUGCCGCCCUGAAAUCGUCUUCGGUAAAACUGUGAGUUACCCAGAAGCUGCGAGCAGGCGCUACUGCCCGUCUGAAGAAACCGGUGAGACGAUUUGAGACUCACCACGAGGCGACCUCAGACCCCGGAGGGGGCUCAGCACAGGGUGCGGGCUCAGCCUCCGCCCUCGCUGCUGCCUGGGGCACGUGGCUGGGCAGCAAACCGCAGCUGCAGGUGGGCACGCUGCCCCAUCCCUCUCUUCGCGGGAUGCUUUGAGCCUUUUCCCUUUUUUUUCCCCCCUUUUGUUUCAGGGCUGAGCGUGCGGCCACGUCGCCUGCUUGCUGGGAAAGUGCCCUACCGCGCUCCAGGUGCGCACUGGGACAAGGGUGGGGAUGGAGGCUGCGCGAUCCCCCUGUGCCUCAGUUUCCCCAUCACUUAAAGACGGGCGCGGGGUGCCCGGCCCUAUUAACCUCCACGCGGAGGAGGGAGGGCUGCGGCAAAGGGACACGAGGGCGCGGGGCCGGCUCGGCGGUGGGAAGGCAGGGCCCCAGCAUCCCUCGAUCCCUCGGAGCCGCUCCGCGCUGCCCCAGCACCACCUGGCGGCCCCGCACCGCCCCGGGGCGGUGCCUGCGGGACAGGGCGGGCGGAGCGGCUCGGGCUGGCAUUCCUCCCUCUGCCACCGAGGU
This is a long non-coding RNA of Numida meleagris (helmeted guineafowl), 1386 nucleotides long. RefSeq lists it as uncharacterized. Lineage: Eukaryota; Metazoa; Chordata; Aves; Galliformes; Numididae. The transcript has 4 exons. The record is from RefSeq and is a predicted model, not a curated record.